Molecule: ribosomal RNA, 497 nt
Filed under: uncultured bacterium
Lineage: Bacteria
Description: partial 16S ribosomal RNA
Rfam family: Bacterial small subunit ribosomal RNA
Source: RNAcentral
GAUGAACGCUGGCGGCGUGCCUAAUACAUGCAAGUCGAGCGAACGGACGAGAAGCUUGCUUCUCUGAUGUUAGCGGCGGACGGGUGAGUAACACGUGGAUAACCUACCUAUAAGACUGGGAUAACCUCGGGAAACCGGAGCUAAUACCGGAUGAUAUUUUGAACCGCAUGGUUCAAAAGUGAAAGACGGUCUUGCUGUCACUUAUAGAUGGAUCCGCGCUGCAUUAGCUAGUUGGUAAGGUAACGGCUUACCAAGGCAACGAUGCAUAGCCGACCUGAGAGGGUGCGCGGCCACACGGGAACUGAAACCCGGUCCAGCCUCCUCCGGGAGGCGGAAGUAGGAAAUCUUCCGAAAUGGGCGAAAGCCUGACGGAGCAACGCCGCGUGAGGGAUGAAGGUCUUCGGAUCGUAAAACUUUGUUAUUAGGGAAAAAAAAAUGUGAAAGUAACUGUGCACUUCUUGACGGUACCUAAUAAGAAGGCCACGGCUAACUCCGUG